RNAcentral lists this ribosomal RNA (256 nucleotides) under uncultured prokaryote. RNAcentral's name for it is "partial 16S ribosomal RNA". It matches the Rfam family "Bacterial small subunit ribosomal RNA", at positions 525 to 777 of the family's 1533-position model. The record is from RNAcentral.
ACAGAGACCUCAAGCGUUAUCCGGAAUCACUGGGCGUAAAGCGUACCGAUAGGUGGUUUUGUAAGUCUUUGGUGAAAGCCCCGAGCUUAACUCGGGAAUCGCCAAGGAAACUAUAAGACUAGAGGAACAAAGAGGGAGCUGGAACUUUGGGUGUAGCGGUGAAAUGCGUUGAUAUCCAAAGGAACACUAAAAGCGAAGGCAGGCUCCUGGGUGUUUCCUGACACUGCUAGGACGAAAGCGUGGGUAGCGAAUGGGA